RNAcentral lists this small nuclear RNA (83 nucleotides) under Monodelphis domestica (gray short-tailed opossum). Its description in RNAcentral is "U4 spliceosomal RNA (ENSMODG00000026463.2)". It matches the Rfam family "U4 spliceosomal RNA", at positions 1 to 83 of the family's 138-position model. From Rfam's summary of the family: U4 small nuclear RNA (U4 snRNA) is a component of the major U2-dependent spliceosome. The structure of U4 snRNA from yeast and human has been reported. Lineage: Eukaryota; Metazoa; Chordata; Mammalia; Didelphimorphia; Didelphidae. The record is from RNAcentral.
AGCUUUGCACAGUGGCAGUAUCAGAGCCAAUGAGGUUUAACCAAGGCAUGAUUAUUGCUCUUUGAAACAGAAUUCAGAAACCA